RNAcentral lists this ribosomal RNA (98 nucleotides) under Acanthosepion pharaonis. The record is from RNAcentral. Lineage: Eukaryota; Metazoa; Mollusca; Cephalopoda; Sepiida; Sepiidae.
ACUGAAACACUGGUUCCCAUACAAUAACCAAAGUCAAGCAAUGUAGAGUCUGGUCAGUACCUAGAUGGGUGACCACUUGGGAAUACCAGUUACUGUAA